CAACUUUCUUGUGGACUCUUAACUUCUCCUGUGCGAAAGUACCAGAUGAGGAAGAGAAAAGAUAGCUCUUUAUGUUUUAAAAAACUGAAGUUCGCAUUCUCUCUCAGCAAUGGCUGAUGGUUGGAGUACCAGGUGAGGAGAGGACGGAUUUGUGUAGAUAAACCCGGAUAUAUUCAUUUGGAUGGCAUCAGCAAGGAGGAUGAAAUCAAAUGCCCAAACAAUUUAGAAGUUUGAUGCAUAACCAAGAUGCGCAGGAGUGUGGACUGUCAGAAGCUGGAGAAUCUCUUGCAGGAGGUUGAUAUGUCCUCCUUUGAGAAUGUGACCAUUGCCACCAUACAGUUCAGUUUCUACUGAAAGCAGUUGCUGGACCUUUUAUCUGUAUUGAUGCAGUUGUUGCCACUGAGGUUGUUAAUUGUUGUGGCCAUUAAGUUUUGUGAUUCUAAAGACUUACCAUUCUGAUUAGUCAAGAAUGAGCCUGUAUUGAUCUUAAUGUAUACUGUGUGUUCUCCAAGCCAUUAGAAAUUAAUGUUAGUAUCUUUGUUGCUGCUUUGUA
Mangifera indica (mango) is the source of this 553-nucleotide long non-coding RNA. RefSeq lists it as uncharacterized. The transcript has 2 exons. Lineage: Eukaryota; Viridiplantae; Streptophyta; Magnoliopsida; Sapindales; Anacardiaceae. The record is from RefSeq and is a predicted model, not a curated record.